This 2102-nucleotide long non-coding RNA is filed under the name Gallus gallus (chicken). RNAcentral's name for it is "long non-coding RNA NONGGAT004219". The record is from RNAcentral. Lineage: Eukaryota; Metazoa; Chordata; Aves; Galliformes; Phasianidae.
CAGAGAGCACAGGAGCAGAGUUAUGGCAAGAGGCACAUCACCGGGUCUCUGAUGAGAUCAGCCAUGGAUACUGUGGAGUGAGAAGGAAGUCCCUUAUCACAGCACACAUGGAUUGAGAGUGCACAUAACCAUUGGUUUUGGAAUAAACCUUUGGAGACUGCAGCAUUUCUUGCACUACACAAAGUAGAAGGUAUGGGGUUUUGCCACUUCUUUUGUGUGUUUCUCCUACACCAGGUAUUUUGCCUAUGAAAAUAGAGUAUGGCAAGAAAACACACUUGCAAUCCUUCUUCCAGUUUCGAUAGUUUGCGUCCACUGUUACAAUUUAAGACCAGGCAGAAUAUGCAAUUACUCUUACAAGACACAGACAGGCAAUCCUUACCCAAAGAAAAUGGUGCUGAUCCUACUUGUGCAUGUGGGUAAUUCUACCCAUGCAGGUGACGCUACUGGGAAACUCCACGCCUGAUGCAGUUCUUAGCAGCUGGAAAUGUGGUUUUUGGACUUGGGCCCUUUAAUAUUAUUUGAACCAUGCUGUGGUUCAUUUGCUCACAGUGAGUAACAUAUUACUCUGAACAGACUCCCACUAGCUUUGGGGAGUCUGUUCACGGUGCAAGGACCCAUUCAGUAGUCAAAAUCUGGCCUCAGGCACUGCGUGCGUUAUUACAGCAGAAAUUCAUUUUGAGCUGUGCUUGGGGAAAGGCUGCACACCUCUCCAGGUGACAGCCGUCAGUGUGCAUGGUGCUGCUUCCCAGAUCAUCUCCAUGCAGCAGCUCUUCCAUAUGAGCUGUGCAGGCUGCCAGAAGCACAUGCAGCACGCUUCUCACAAGCUGCUGUGCAAACCUAUCACUAUAGGCUUCAGGCUCGUGGGUCCUGCUGGCUGUGUUGCCAUGUCCCGUUUGCGAGCCUUGAUGAGAUUGCUCCUGAGCUUUGUGUGCAUUUAGAGCCCUGGAGUGAGAUGUCAGGGACAGAAGCUGAGGGCUUUGGCACAAAUAAGAUCUUCCAAACUAAAUUUAGGGGAAACUCCACAAAACUCUAUUGAUUUUUUUUUUCUUCUCUGUACUUAAUUCAAUAUCUCUUUGCUCUAGUAGGAUAGCAAAUUGAUAGAAUCGUGUGUCCCCUUUACCACGAUGUCAUUUCAAGACAGCAACUGCCUGCUUUUAAAAGGAUGUGGAGUGCCCUCAACUAUUUUGUCUGCAAGAGCUAUGUGCGCAGAAUUUUCAGUGAAAUGUUAAGUGCAGAGUGACAAGAGUGUUCAUAUGGCUGGCUCACUGUGAAACCCGGAAUGUGUAGCACUCACAUCAGUCUGUUGGUCUGAUCAGGUUUCCCUGCUUCACUUCUCCCCUCCAGCAAGGCAGAGCUGGCUGCCAUGAGCAUCCCCUCCUGCUGCUAGGAGGAGCAGGUGAAAGAUGAGGCGAGAGUGACAAUGAGGGCAGCAGGGACUCAGGAGGGAGAAGAAAGCAGAGUGACUCACACUGGGGCUUCAAUGAUUGCCCUUAAGUGUGGCCACUGGUUACUGCUCUCACAUUUGCAGUGUUUGAGGUGUAGGAAGACAUGGUCCUCAAGAUAAGCGAACAAACAUCAGCUUUAGGGCAGUAGCCCUUCAUAUUUCAUUCCAUGGAGAGUAUCCUUCUACUAAUACUCCUAGGAAAGACCAACUGCGGAAUAGUCUGUCCUCACUUCCAUAUCUCCCAUCUGUUACACCCAGCUCCUCACACACUUAUGCUAGUCCAUUGAUUUCUGGCUCUUGCUCACUAUGUGAGUCCCAUGGCAGGUGUCUGGGACCGAGCCUCAGCUCUGCCUUGUGAUGUGCAGGUACAGUGAUGCUUGUACAUAGGACAAAGCUGACAAAGCAGAAUAUUUCACAGCUGCCUCACAUACAGUUACGGGCACAACCAGCUUGAUGCUUAGAAUUACUCUAACACAGAAUCGUGGCACAAAUUCUUACAGCAAGGGCCAAAGGAGACCUACAUUCCUCUUUCAUGUGCCUGAGACCACACUGUGUGAAGAUCAUGGUUUUAAUAUAGAUAUAACCACUAAGAGGAGAUUCAUACCUUGGCCGUUGGUCCCACUGUUACUUCAGAGUCUGCAGAUUUGCAGAAGGCAGC